RNAcentral lists this ribosomal RNA (613 nucleotides) under Vibrio sp. a314. RNAcentral describes it as "bacterial SSU rRNA". It matches the Rfam family "Bacterial small subunit ribosomal RNA", at positions 309 to 915 of the family's 1533-position model. Lineage: Bacteria; Pseudomonadati; Pseudomonadota; Gammaproteobacteria; Vibrionales; Vibrionaceae. The record is from RNAcentral.
CACACUGGACUGAGACACGGUCCAGACUCCUACGGGAGGCAGCAGUGGGGAAUAUUGCACAAUGGGCGCAAGCCUGAUGCAGCCAUGCCGCGUGUGUGAAGAAGGCCUUCGGGUUGUAAAGCACUUUCAGUCGUGAGGAAGGUAGUGUAGUUAAUAGCUGCAUUAUUUGACGUUAGCGACAGAAGAAGCACCGGCUAACUCCGUGCCAGCAGCCGCGGUAAUACGGAGGGUGCGAGCGUUAAUCGGAAUUACUGGGCGUAAAGCGCAUGCAGGUGGUUUGUUAAGUCAGAUGUGAAAGCCCGGGGCUCAACCUCGGAAUAGCAUUUGAAACUGGCAGACUAGAGUACUGUAGAGGGGGGUAGAAUUUCAGGUGUAGCGGUGAAAUGCGUAGAGAUCUGAAGGAAUACCGGUGGCGAAGGCGGCCCCCUGGACAGAUACUGACACUCAGAUGCGAAAGCGUGGGGAGCAAACAGGAUUAGAUACCCUGGUAGUCCACGCCGUAAACGAUGUCUACUUGGAGGUUGUGGCCUUGAGCCGUGGCUUUCGGAGCUAACGCGUUAAGUAGACCGCCUGGGGAGUACGGUCGCAAGAUUAAAACUCAAAUGAAUUGACG